AAUAAAGUGGCUGAAGAAAGGGUGGUGAUUUGUAAAUUUAUAAAGAAGUUGCAUAUUUUUUUA
This 63-nucleotide transfer RNA is filed under the name Longpotamon yangtsekiense. Its description in RNAcentral is "tRNA-Tyr". The record is from RNAcentral. Lineage: Eukaryota; Metazoa; Arthropoda; Malacostraca; Decapoda; Potamidae.